GAUGAACGCUGGCGGCGUGCCUAAUACAUGCAAGUCGAGCGAACAGACGAGGAGCUUGCUCCUCUGACGUUAGCGGCGGACGGGUGAGUAACACGUGGAUAACCUACCUAUAAGACUGGGAUAACUUCGGGAAACCGGAGCUAAUACCGGAUAAUAUAUUUAACCGCAUGGUUCAAUAGUGAAAGACGGUUUUGCUGUCACUUAUAGAUGGAUCCGCGCCGCAUUAGCUAGUUGGUAAGGUAGCGGCUUACCAAGGCAACGAUGCGUAGCCGACCUGAGAGGGUGAUCGGCCACACUGGAACUGAGGCACGGUCCAGACUCCUACGGGAGGCAGCAGUAGGGAAUCUUCCGCAAUGGGCGAAAGCUUGACGGAGCAACGCCGCGUGAGUGAUGAAGGUCUUCGGAUCGUAAAACUCUGUUAUUAGGGAAGAACAAAUGUGUAAGUAACUAUGCACGUCUUGACGGUACCUAAUCAGAAAGCCACGGCUAACUACGUG
RNAcentral lists this ribosomal RNA (497 nucleotides) under uncultured bacterium. RNAcentral's name for it is "partial 16S ribosomal RNA". It matches the Rfam family "Bacterial small subunit ribosomal RNA", at positions 28 to 507 of the family's 1533-position model. The record is from RNAcentral.